This 490-nucleotide ribosomal RNA is filed under the name uncultured bacterium. RNAcentral's name for it is "partial 16S ribosomal RNA". It matches the Rfam family "Bacterial small subunit ribosomal RNA", at positions 28 to 507 of the family's 1533-position model. The record is from RNAcentral.
GAUGAACGCUAGCUACAGGCUUAACACAUGCAAGUCGCGGGGCAGCAUGGGGGUUGCUUGCAAUCCCCGAUGGCGACCGGCGCACGGGUGAGUAACGCGUAUCCAACCUGCCCUUCACCACGGGCUAACCCGGCGAAAGUCGGACUAAUACCGUAUGUUGUCCAUUGACGGCAUCCGAUUUGGACGAAAGGUUUGGCGGUGAAGGAGGGGGAUGCGUCCGAUUAGCUGGACGGCGGGGUGACGGCCCACCGUGGCGACGAUCGGUAGGGGUUCUGAGAGGAAGGUCCCCCACACUGGAACUGAGACACGGUCCAGACUCCUACGGGAGGCAGCAGUGAGGAAUAUUGGUCAAUGGGCGUAAGCCUGAACCAGCCAAGUAGCGUGCAGGAUGACGGCCCUAUGGGUUGUAAACUGCUUUUAUGCGGGGAUAAAGUGGCCCACGUGUGGGUUUUUGAAGGUACCGCAUGAAUAAGGACCGGCUAAUUCCGUG